Molecule: long non-coding RNA, 1562 nt
Organism: Physeter macrocephalus (sperm whale)
Lineage: Eukaryota; Metazoa; Chordata; Mammalia; Artiodactyla; Physeteridae
Exons: 5
Source: RefSeq, a predicted model, not a curated record
CAGUACGGUGAAACGAUUUCAGAAAUUGGAGCUUAGAGUGCGGUGGUGAAAACCUGGACGUGGGGAACACGCCGCCGGGCCGCCACGUGUCCCGAGUCGUGGUGGCGGCCGGCUUCGAGCUUAGGCGUGCGGAGGCGGCCGCUGGUGGCCGCGGCGCUGCGCGCGGCCUGGUUGUUGCGCCCGGGCAGCCGCUGACUGAGCCUGGGAGGCGGCCGGCAGAAGACAACAUUCCUGGGAUUUGGGGGCGGGGGGUUACCCUUAACGUUAAGAGCGAGAGGCCUGUGAUAGGGUGUCUUUCUCCCAUGGCCAGAUCAACAGUUAUUUCCAAACGGGCAGCCCCUGACUCGGCGUGAGACAGUUGUAUUGUGCCCAGGUGGCGCUGUGUGCAAAUAGCAUUAUUGCAGGGGAGGAGUUUAGUGCUGAAAACCUUGAACUAUGACAUUCUGUGAGACUGCUUAACUUUAAAUAGAUGCCCCGCAAGAACAAUGGCUUUCGGCGUAACGGAGCUGUUAUGUGGAGAGACUGAGAGGCAAAGGAAAGUUCCAAAACGUAUGGGAGAAGGUUUGCUGGAAAAUGACUUGGUUAAAACCUGACAAUCUUACCAGCAUCCUGCAGGUCGAUGAACAUUAAUGAAGCUAUGACCGUCACCGAUUGAUGAUGAACAGCUUCAUUUGAAAAGACAGGGGUCGCUGUCUGCCUAUUGAAAGAGGCCAGUUUGCCAUGAAGUUCCUAAGGUGUAAACAUGUCUGGUUAGUGCCACGAGAUUUACUUGUCUGUUGUAUGAAAAACUGGUGAUCAGGAAAAGCUCUUCAUUUUAUGGACACGGAAAGAAAACAAAACUCAAGACAGAUUAUUUAUUUUAAUUUUGAAAUUGCAUUUGUAAAUAGAUUUCUGAGCCAACAUCGAAUCUAGAUUAAUGCAUCCAUAAGAUUCAAGCCAUUUCUGUUUAAUCAUGUCACUGCCCUAGAGUCGUAACCUGUUAGCCAGUAUAUUAUUGAUACUUUCUAGCUCUGAAACUGUUUUUAAUGGAAAAUUCUUUUUCAGUUAUCCAGUCGUGUAAUUAAAUAAUUCUGAGUGAAUGUUUAGCCUUUGGUCCCCUGUCUGAAUUUAAAAUGCAUAAUUGUAAAUACAGGCAAGUGAAAGUUUAUACUAUUGUGGGAAAAUCCUUAGUAGGGAGAGAUGACUUGGUUUGGUGAUCAUAAGGAUCACAAGGGGAUAUGGGAAACCUUGACUUUGUGCAGGGUACUAAGUAUUACUGAAUUAAUGGAGGUGAAAGCAGAGUAGAGAGAGAGGACCUAUGACUGGGGUGAGGGGAGGGAAAGCCAGGCAGCAAAACAAUCAGUAUACUAGCUGAAUUGUGGACUAUUUAGUCCUAGUAUAAUAGUAAUAUGAAGGGGUAUUUAUGCUGAAAAUGGGGAGGAGUAAUGCUGAAAAUUAAGGAAGAGAGCACAGCAUAACAAUCAGGAGCCAUGAGGGAAGGUCACUGAUAAAAUCUGGGUUAAAACUGGUCAAACAUUGUACAGAAUGGAUUAGUGUAAACAGUAAUAGCAUCUGAUCUAACC